AUAUCAACAAUGAUGAAGAGGAGUAAAUAGUACACCUUUAAGAGAGAAAACCCAAGUGCUGAAAGGUUUUUAAGGAAAUGGCUAUUGAAGGUAGCUUCUGAGUUUCUACAUUGAAUGGAGUAGAUGUAGACGGUCGAAACCGUUAUAUUGAAAUUAAGUGUCUAUUUACAUAUAUUUUGUAGAUAGAAAUUAAGGUGGUACCGCGAAUAUAUCCUUCGUCCUUAUU
Molecule: non-coding RNA, 226 nt
Filed under: Alkaliphilus oremlandii
Lineage: Bacteria; Bacillati; Bacillota; Clostridia; Peptostreptococcales; Natronincolaceae
Description: T-box sequence
Rfam family: T-box leader
About the family: Uncharged tRNA acts as the effector for transcription antitermination of genes in the T-box leader family. T-boxes are found upstream of many aminoacyl-tRNA synthetase genes and some amino acid biosynthetic genes usually in Gram-positive bacteria. The anticodon of a specific tRNA base pairs to a specifier sequence within the T-box motif, and the NCCA acceptor tail of the tRNA base pairs to a conserved bulge in the T-box antiterminator hairpin.
Source: RNAcentral